GAAAUGCGAUACGUAAUGUGAUCCGCAGGUUUCGUGAAUCAUCGAAUCUUUGAACGCAUCUUGCGCUUUCUGGUAUUCCAGAGAGCAUGUCUGUUUGAGUGUCUUGAACAUGUCAAAAUAUCUCUUUUAAUUAAGAGAUGUUUUGGAUUCUGGAUCUUGCUGGCCUUCUUGUAAGAAGUGUCACGCUUAUCCGCAAUACAUGAGUGUCUGCAUUUUGUAUGGACUGACUUGGUGUAAUAAUUUCAUCUCAUCAAGGAAUUCUUUCGCAAGAAGGAAGCCAUCAGAAUGUGUAAUUGGAACACUACUAAAAAACAUUGAAAUACUUGACUUUUGACCUCAAAUCAGAUAGGAUUACCCGCUGAACUUAA
This 368-nucleotide unclassified non-coding RNA is filed under the name uncultured Basidiomycota. RNAcentral describes it as "sequence contains ITS1". The stretch from base 1 to 104 matches the Rfam family "5.8S ribosomal RNA", at positions 50 to 154 of the family's 154-position model. Lineage: Eukaryota; Fungi; Basidiomycota. The record is from RNAcentral.